This is a non-coding RNA of Musa acuminata subsp. malaccensis (wild Malaysian banana), 1931 nucleotides long. The record is from RefSeq and is a predicted model, not a curated record. NCBI's taxonomy places the organism in Eukaryota, Viridiplantae, Streptophyta, Magnoliopsida, Zingiberales, Musaceae.
UUGUUUUGGUUGAGGCAAUGCGUCGUUACGCGUCUGCGGUGUCCUUUAAGUGGAUCCUCAGCCAUCCGUAAUCGAUGAUUUCGUUUUCGGAUUGGACGAUCCGUCGAUCGUUGAUUUCGUUUUCGGAUUGGAUGAUCUGUUUCCGAUAGAGGCCUUCACAAUUUUGCCGGAUUAAGGCUAUUUGCGACAGAUUUUAUAUGUACUUUCGAAGCGGUAGGUGAGGCUGUGGUGUUUGUGUGGGUAUUAUCCUAAUGGAACCCCCGCGGAGUCUGUGAUGCAAUUUGUGAAGGUUGCUCUGGUUUUCCGAAAUGAUCUGAACAAGGGAUGUGUCCUGUUUGUUCUGGUUUAGUUGGCCUUCGUUACGUUCAAUUUUUAUUUGUUGCAUUUAUUUCCACCAGUUGGUUAUGUUUGUUUGUUUUUAUUUUUUGUGUGCAAGGGAAAGCGUCUGGAUAUGAUAUUUGAAAGAGAGAGUUGGAUUUAGACGGGUCUCAGGGAAGAGUUCCAUCAUCUUCUCAUUUAUUGAGGAUUUAAAUAGGGUAUAUGGAAGGUUAUUUUGUUUGCCUAUUUGGUUUAUUACAUCCAGUUGUAUUCUUGGCUGCUCUUUCCAGAUGAAAUUUUGAUUUUCUGUCCUGGUUUUCUACAAUUAGUUAUUUCGUUUGGUAGCAGGAUUUUAUUUUGGAGUUAAUACAUUUCUAAAUUGGGUUAAUUACAUCCUUUGGUGUUCUUGGCUGGUUGUAUUAGAGGAAGUCAGCUAAUUUUGUUGAAUAACUUGAAUUCUGUAGUCAUUGUUUCCAUUGGCAUCAUUGCUGUUCAUUUAUUGCCAAAAUGCAGUCCAACAGUGCAAAGUUGUAACAUUUGAAAGGUCAAAUUAUUUUCACCGACUUUUUGAUCCUUUGGCUUAUAAAAGUUCUCUGCAGCGUUUCUCUUCCUCUUAAUUAACUUCCUUAUCUCUUUUGAAUCUUGUUUCCUUUAUCUUGUGUGGAAGUUAGGACAUGGUAAUGAUUUUACGUACAUGUACUUGUGCUAUUAAGGUGUCUUUGUUGGUGAUCUUGGGUUAUGAUAAUUGUACUUCAUUGUUAUAUCGAUUUUUGAAUCAAUUCAAUAGCACAAUUGAUGGCUUAAAAAACAAGUGGGUUUUUAAGGUGCAUUGUUACUUUUUUCUUGUAUCAAGUUGGAGGGAGGUACAGGCAUGCUGUGUUCUCUUGUUUUUCCUUGAAAUUCAUUUUAUAUUGCUGAUUUUUAUUAGAAGUGGUAAGUUAACUUCUCAGGCUGAUGUACUUUUGGCUGCUCAUUUUAUGUGUUGUUUGUCUACUUGAAGCUUGUUUUGGGAGCUGGGUUUCACGUUAAGAAAGCUGGGUUUCUCUUCAUUAUGGAGCCUUCACAUUAUAAACAAAGGAGUCCAAUUUUCAUCAAGGAAUCUUCUUGAGGGGACCCAAUUACUAAUUGAAUAUAUUUCCUUUAUGAAGAUUCUGCAACCAUAGCUGAUACAAACAAGUUUUCAAGAUUGUUGUUUUUGGUUUGCAUGAUGAAGAGAAUAGAAGUUCUAACCUAUACUCUUGGUGAUGUGAACAAUGUAGUUGGAACAUCUACGGAAAGCCUAGCAUGAUUAAACAGAAAUUCAUGGGAAAGACUUUAUUGGCUUUUAACUGGUUUUCCCAGGAUUAACAUUAGAUUGAAAAGCUUGGAACUGACAUUUGAAUUGAUCCGCUAGUACCUGUUGCUGUUGCCCAUGAUGUUUGCAAGUUUUGGUUGGAUUUUGUUCUUUUCCUGUGUGUACAUGUUUUUACAUGGUUCAAAGAACUCUGGAAGGUUGUGUUUGGUUGAAAGGGGGCGGUGCAUUUGGAUUGAGAUUAGCAAAUUGAAAAGAUUGGAAAAUGACUUUUGAUUGAGAUUAGGGCAUUGAGAAGGUUGGAAAAUGAUUUUUUAGUUGA